UACAGAGGUGGCAAGCGUUGUUCGGAAUUACUGGGCGUAAAGGGCGCGUAGGCGGCCUUCUAAGUCGGACGUGAAAGCCCCAGGCUUAACCUGGGAACUGCGUCCGAUACUGGGAGGCUUGGAUUCGGGAGAGGGAUGUGGAAUUCCAGGUGUAGCGGUGAAAUGCGUAGAUAUCUGGAGGAACAUCGGUGGCGAAGGCGGCAUCCUGGACCGGUAUUGACGCUGAGGCGCGAAAGCCAGGGGAGCAAACGGG
RNAcentral lists this ribosomal RNA (253 nucleotides) under uncultured bacterium. RNAcentral's name for it is "partial 16S ribosomal RNA". It matches the Rfam family "Bacterial small subunit ribosomal RNA", at positions 524 to 776 of the family's 1533-position model. The record is from RNAcentral.